Molecule: ribosomal RNA, 457 nt
Filed under: uncultured bacterium
Lineage: Bacteria
Description: bacterial SSU rRNA
Rfam family: Bacterial small subunit ribosomal RNA
Source: RNAcentral
AGGCAGCAGUGGGGAAUAUUGCACAAUCGGGGGAAACCCUGAUGCAGCCAUGCCGCGUGUGUGAAGAAGGCCUUCGGGUUGUAAAGCACUUUCAGUAGGGAGGAAGGUAGUGUAGUUAACACCUGCAUUAUUUGACGUUACCUACAGAAGAAGCACCGGCUAACUCCGUGCCAGCAGCCGCGGUAAUACGGAGGGUGCGAGCGUUAAUCGGAAUUACUGGGCGUAAAGCGCAUGCAGGCGGCCUGUUAAGUCAGAUGUGAAAGCCCGGGGCUUAACCUCGGAAUUGCAUUUGAAACUGGCAGGCUAGAGUCUUGUAGAGGGGGGUAGGAAUUUCAGGUGUAGCGGUGAAAUGCGUAGAGAUCUGAAGGAAUACCAGUGGCGAAGGCGGCCCCCUGGACAAAGACUGACGCUCAGAUGCGAAAGCGUGGGGAGCAAACAGGAUUAGAUACCCUGGUAG